This is a long non-coding RNA of Callithrix jacchus (white-tufted-ear marmoset), 5265 nucleotides long. RefSeq lists it as uncharacterized. The record is from RefSeq and is a predicted model, not a curated record. Lineage: Eukaryota; Metazoa; Chordata; Mammalia; Primates; Cebidae.
AUCCAGGCCAGGAGCUGCCUAGGCUUUUGGGGCAGCCUGCGUGGGUCGUGUGGAAAGGCACAGGUGGUUUGACCACCCUUUCCUCUUUUCCUGCCACUUGGGUUUGGGCCACGUCAAUCCUGUGCAAAUGUCCAAAGACACACACACUCUUACAGAUACACAGAAAAUACAAACAUAUUCACAUACACACACAGUUACACACACACAAAGAUGUAUGCAAACACACUCAUGAGCACCCACACACAGAUGCACAGAAACAUACACAGGAAACAGGUGCACACAAACACAUAUACAGAACACAAACACACAAUCACAGACAAGUCCACACAAACACACAGUCACACACAAGUGCACAGAAACGCACCCCUAUACAGUCACACAGAAGUGCACACAAACACACCCAUACACAGUCACCCGCAGACACACACAAACGCACCAUAUACAGUCAUGCGCAGGUGCACACAAACGCACCCAUAAACAGUCACACACAGAUGCAGCCAAACACACUGACACAUAUACAUACAUACACAGGAACACAGUACAGCAAUACACACAGACACACAGACACACACACACACAUAACACAUUGAUGUUAUGAAGAGCAGAAAACAGUGAUGGUGACAACAGCUUAGGAUUUACUUCUUUAAAAAGAAAAGUCUUGGAGUCAGCUAGAGAGCUGGAAGCCACCUUCAGAUCAGCUGGCCCGUCCUCUCUGGUGCAGAUGAGGAAACUGAUGCCAGGAGUAGGAUUCCUACAGGGUAGGGUAGGAGGGGAGAUAGGAGGAGGUGAGUGGGAUGGUUCAGAGCAGAGUGAACAUUUCCUGACCCCAGACCCACUCCAUGUUUCUCUUACAGUGAGAAGGGUCAGAAAGAUUAGACUGCUGCCUGGGUCUGCUCAAGGCAAACGUUUUCAUAAUUUUGGAAGGCAGACAGAAGACAAAAAAAUGUGAAAUAUUGCUGAUGCAUUGGGGAGAGACAGGGAAUGUUAGUUAAGUCCACCCAGACAAAACAUGGAUAGCACAGCAGACUGGUGUUCUUGCCAAAUGAGUUUUCAGAAAACUACUGAGCCAUCAUGAUUUUCGAAGUGUAUUUGCUGUCAGAACACCAAUAAGUAACCUUUUUUGCUCUAUCACCAUGCCUGAGCCCUUCAUAUGCAUUAUUUCUUUUAAUCUUCAUUACGGUUUGACCAUGUGGGUACCACUUUGCAGAGGAGGAAACCGGCUCAAGGAAGGGCACAGUGGCAAGCUGCAGAAUCUCGCCCAAGACCCCUGCUCUGAACCACCAGAGCAAGGUCGUUUCUUUGUUCUCUUGAAUUGUAUGUUCCUCAUGAUUACUAGGAACAUAUAAUCUAACAGAGCAAAAAAGUGGAACACUCUAUUGCUGGAAAAGAACGAACAAUGUAAUUGAGUGCUGUAUUGUGCAUUAUCAAGAGUGCAUGGGAGGAAACCAGAUGAGGAUGAUGACAGCAGGCAGCAUGAUCAGGGGCUCGAGAGCCAGGUAGCUCUGGUCCCGGGCUUGGCUUCUCUGCCACUUUCAAGAUGUGGUACUUUACUUCCUUUAGUCUCACUUUCCUCUCUAAUGAAAUGGGGGUAAUGAUGGUUUGCAUCUCAUAGGAGAGUCAUGAAAAUUCAAUGAGAUGAUGCCUUCUUAUCACUUAGUUCAGGUACAUGUAACAAUGAAGAAAAUGGUGGCUGGGAGCAGUGGCUCACGCCUGGAAUCCCAGCACUUUGGGAGGCUGAGGCAGGCAGAUCAUCUGAGGUUGGGAGUUAGAGACCAGCCUGGCUAACAUGGUGAAACCUCGUCUCUACUAAAAAUACAGAAUUACCCAGGUGUGGUGGCGAGUGCCUGUAAUUUCAGCUACUCGGGAUGCUGAGGCAGGAGGAUCACUUGUCUCAAGAGAAAAGAAAAGAGUAGCUACUGCCACUAAUACUUGCACCACUGCGGCUGUUUGAGUUGCAGCCACCAGGGAAGACUUUGAAAGACAAGUAAGUUGUGGCUAGGGAGAGACACAAAGGCUGGGGAAAUAGAAUUCCAUAAAAUUUAAAAGAUCAAAAAGGAAAGGAAAUGCAGAAGGUGUGUGUGUGUGUGUGUGUGUGUGUGGUUUUUCUGAGAGUCACAGUUAUUAACAGCAGUGAUAUUACCUCUUGUCAAAAAAGCACUGUUCAAUGAUAGAUUGCUUCAAUGACUUAUAGAAUUCCUGUUUCUCCCCAAUUUGCCAACUCAGUGAAAUAACUUUUGGCUGGGGUGAAGCACCUCUGUGUACCCAUCAUGGUGCAGACACCUGGGGAGCCAAAUAUUCCCACUAGAACAUUUAUUGGCCAGUGAAUUGGGAUUAGGAUGUGUUUCCUCAUAGAACAAUGUCAUAUUGUUGCGUUUCUGGGUCAACGACAUGGAAGUUUUACAAUGUACCUAAGUGCUGCAGAGUUGCAAUAAAGCAGAGGAGAGUUGCAGUAAAUGAGAAAACAACGCUGAUUCAAUGCUAGGGACUAAGCUAAACCAAACCAAAUCAAGUUUAAUAAGAAAUUGUAUUUUAGCAGAAAGGCUGGCAAAGGCAGAUUCAAUUAAGGGAAGGUAAUGGGAUUGAAAUACGGACGAUUCUAGAGAAGAUGACUUCACAAUUUCAAGAUGCUUGUGGUUUCUUGACCCUGGCUCUUUAUCCUAACAUGCUCAUUCCAAAAUGUUUGUCUUCCCUCUUUCCUCAGUUCUGAUGUAUUCCUCACCCUGCUCUAAUGUUUUCCUGGCAUGACUAAGGCCAUUUCAAAUGAAGAAGCAGAAUGAAAAGAUGGGGAGAGAAGAUGAUGCUCUCCUUCCCAGUGAACUGUAGUAUCAGAGAUGCCCUGGCAUGUAGGAAACCUCUGGAAAUGGUGACAGACCGAGGACUCUGAGGACAAAAAUCUUCUAAUGUCGAAGCCAUUGUAGGAUGAUGGAAUCUCGUGCUGUUGCCCAGGCUGGAGUGCAGUGGUGUGAUCUUGGCUCACUGCAGCCUCCACCUCCCGGGUUCAAGCGAUCCUCCUGCCUCAGCUUCCUUAGUAGCUGGGACCACAGGUGUGUGCCACCACACCUGACCUUUCUAUACUUUUGUUUAACCAUUUAAAGUAUACGUUUCAGUGGCAUUAAGUACAUUGAUGGGUGUUGUAUGACCAUCACCUCUUCAUUUCCAGAACUUUCUAUCAUCCCGAACAGAAACUGUAUUCAUUAAACAAUAACUCCUCAUUCCCUUCAGCCCCUGAUAACCUCUACUGUAUUUUCUGUCUACAAAUAUACCUCAGACAAGUGGUAUCAUACAGUAUUUCUCAUUUUAUGUCUGGCUUAUUUCUCUUAGCAUGUUUUCAAGGUUCAUUCCUGUGGCAACACAGAGAAUUUCACUCCUUUGGAAGGCUGAAUAAUAUUCAGUGGUACAUAUAUGAUAUUUAUCCAUGGACAUGAGUUUUUUUCCACCUUUGGCUAUUGUGAAUAAUGCUGCCAUGCACACUGCAAAAAUAUCUGUUUGCAUCACUAUUUUCAGUUCUUUGGGAUAUAUACCUAGAGGUAAAAUGGCUAGAUCAGAUGCCAAUUCUACGUUAAACUUUUUGAGAGACUGGCAAACUGUUUUCCAUAAGGACUGCCCCAUUUCACAUUCCCACCAAGAGUGAAGGGAGGGCUCCAAUUUCUCCACAUUCCUGCCAACAUUUAUUGUUGUGUUUUGUUUUAUACACAGCCAUCCUAAUGGGUAGGAAGUGGUAUCUCAUGUAGUUUGGAUUUGCAUUCCAUACUUUUUCUAAUUCAGUCACUAAAGAUAGUUAUGGCUUUUCCUCUGAAAUUCCAGUAGCUUCUCUUGGUCAACCAAACAAUGUGUGUAUGAAGCCCAUUUCUUCACAGAUCUCAGAGCUGCUCAGCAGGGAUUUCACCCUGUCACUGUCACACCACACGGUACAGAGAGACUGAUUGGAAUUGAAGGAAGGCAAACUGCUGAAUCGAGAAAGACACUUUGCACUCUCUCUGGGGCACGAUGAAGGGUUUUUCCUUUUCUUUCUUGCUUUCUUUUUCUUUGAUACACCAGCAUCAGAGAACUGCCAUUUAGUGCACAGCAGGCAAUUCACCCAUCAGGCCUGUGAAGGUAGUUGAAGUAGCCGCUCUGAUGGCUGAAUGGCCGGACAAAAGCGGCCAUUGUGGGGCUGACUGGUUUUGAGGAUAACAAUGAUACUCUGAUCUGACAGCGAUACCAUGAAAUUAUAUACCUGUGAUGGAAAGAGCUGGAUCUUGAACAAGUCGCUCCUCUAAUGAUCAGCUAAUGGCAACAGGCCCCCUUUACACUACUACAAGAAAAGUCACAGGACAACCGUAUGCUCCUUUUUAGAAGUAGAUGUAUGUGAGCUGCGGCAGGUACAUCUCUGAUGACAGUUAGGAGGUUGGUGCCCCUGAUUCUGGGACUGAUGCUGGCACCAUUCAGGAGAGAAAGGUUGUGGCUGGCAUUCUCAAGUAUACACCAGUAAAAGAAGGGCAUGUGGCACACUGGUCUUAUUUGGGUUCCCUUGAAGCUGAGGCUUUACUUGAUUUGUGGACAUAGAGGAAAUAAGAGUAGUGAAGGUAGGUAGGUAAGUGUCCCACAAAUCUGGCUCUAGGCUUUAGAGCACAGACUUUAUUGAGACUAUUCCAGUCAACAGCAGGGAAACUCACCUCUGCUGGUAAUGCCAGCCUAGCAAUCUAGCUGAACUUGUUAGUUAAGUCAAGAAUAGUAAUCAUCACUGGGGCUUCUGGUGAACUGGCAAGAGAGACCAAAAAGGUAAUUGAAGUGAUGGAGAUGUUACUUUUUCAGAUGGACUCUUUAGAGGGUUUUUUUUUCUUUUGAGAUGGAUUUUCGCUCUUAUUGACCAGACUACAGUGCAAUGGUGUUUUCUCAGCUCACCACAACCUCUGUCUCACCUUCCCAGUUCAAGCAAUUCUCCUGCCUCAGCCUCCCGAAUAGCUGGGAUUACAGGCAUGCAUCACCACACCCGGCUGAUUUUGUAUUUUUAGUAGAGAUGGAGUUUCACCAUGUUGGCCAGGCUGGUGACCUCAAGUAAUCUGCCUACCUUGGCCUCCCAAAGUGCUGAGAUUACAGGCAUGAGCCACCACACCCGGCCUCUUUUGAGUUUUAUGAAUAAAAAUUUCCAAGAGAAAUAAUUUGAUUGGUCUACUUUUGCCAGAUAUAGGUGAUGGGGGGGAGGGGCGGAUGGAGGCAGCAAACCACAUUGCCAUGUAUAUACCUAUGCAACAAUCCUGCAUGAUCUGCACAUGUGCCCCAGAA